Molecule: long non-coding RNA, 956 nt
Filed under: Citrus sinensis (sweet orange)
Lineage: Eukaryota; Viridiplantae; Streptophyta; Magnoliopsida; Sapindales; Rutaceae
Description: long non-coding RNA (CSIN_LNC004190)
Source: RNAcentral
UACAAUCAAUUUAGAUGUAAUUUGUAACGCCCCAGUCCAAAAUCCAAGGGUAAAAAUGUCCACAACUCACAUAUGUAUUUAAAUAACUCUUUACCACUGAUAAAAUUCGAGCCUCAAAUACAAAAGCUAGCGAAAUAACUUAAAAAUUUAGCCAAACCAUCUACCAUCCUUAAUUCAAAUCCAUCUUCUCACUCCUCACGAAUCAAUCCUGACUUCUGAAAACUGAAUCACAAUAAACUAUAAUGAGUACAAAACCCGGUAAGUAAACUAGUUUUUCUUAUACGGAAAUACAUACAUACCUAUACAUAAUGCAAUGGAUGACAUGACAUGAUCUUUGGAAAUACUGUAAAUACAUUCAUCAAAAUCUCUUUUUGUCGCUUUCAAAUUUUCUCAUUUUCUUUCAAUAAAAUAUGUAUCAUGCAAUGUGGCACUUAGUGCUGUGCGUGGCACUUUGCACCAUGCGUGGCACUUUGUGGCGCUCAGGCCUUCAAGAGGUGGCCCCCACACAACUUCAAGAGGUGACCCCCAAUGUAAAAUCUCAUAAAAUAGAAAUCUCAUUUGCUAAAAUCCACUUUCUCAUUCAUAGAAAACUCAAUGCAUUUUCAUGCUCAUGACAAUGAACCAUCACACAUACAUAUGCCUAUGUACAUAAUCACACGCCCAAUACAUAACAACACAUCACACGCCCAAUACAUAACAACACAUCACAUAAACACAUGGGCGGAGACAUAGAAAUCCAUAUUCAUACAUAUCAAAAUAGGCUUUUCACACAAGUCAAACAUAUAUAUUGUUUAUUAUGAUUCGUUUGGAAAUCUAGUUUACUUACCUCCUAGUAUUCUUGAGUAAUAAAUGCACAUCAAUACCAUCGGCCUCUUGAUCUUGAUUUCUCUAAACCUUUCUAAAUUAAGGAUUUCUUUACUCUUGUUAUUAUGACUUAGAAUGGAAGAGAAUAAAAU